RNAcentral lists this long non-coding RNA (921 nucleotides) under Triticum aestivum (bread wheat). RNAcentral's name for it is "long non-coding RNA (TAES_LNC005739)". Lineage: Eukaryota; Viridiplantae; Streptophyta; Magnoliopsida; Poales; Poaceae. The record is from RNAcentral.
UGCCAUUGACAUUACAACACAUCACACUACAAGUUAUCUUGGGCCUAGCCCAGUUCCGAUACAUUUUCAAAGCAACAUGAAAUAUUAUAGGAGCCCAAAAUAUAGUUACAUGCAUUCAUUCUAGCAGUACAUAUCUUUACAUCCAACCAGUAAGUGCCAAACAGAACUAUUCUACAACAAAGAAAAGAAAAUAGAUGACAAGACAUCACAGAAGUUCCUAUUGUCCUCCUCCUUCAACAUUUGAAAACCUUCACCUGGCAGUAGAUCAAUCAUGAGUGAGAAACAAUACAGCAGCAAAACAAUACAGAAACAAUAUGGUUGAUUAUUCAAAGAAAUUAAACUAAGUGCAGGUCACCCAAAGCUGAAUUUCUUGCAAUUCAAACAACACAAACAGUAGGAAGAUGGUUGCAUAGAUACAAAUCCAUGUGGUAGCAGCAAAAUUGGCCAAUCUGGACACCAUCUUCUCUGUUUGGUACUAACUAAAAAAACUGGACUUGUUCAUACAAAUCCCUCUUGAAUUCCUUACACAGCCAGGAUUUGCAUCAAAUAUUCCUUAAUUUAGCGGCAUUUGUAAGCAGAGAAAGAGAGGGAGAGAGAUGGGGAUGCUACGUACCUUGUCCUGAAGUUCCAACGACCAGACCAGAGAGAAGUUGCUCCUCGUCUUCUUUCCUCAGCCCCAAAUUUGCCUGCAAUAACCACAAUUCAUUGCAUCAACCAGCGAUCUGAUCUCACAAGCGAUCUGAUCUCACAAGCCCCACCCGGGUGGUGGACUGGUGGUAGUACAGCAGCUAGAAGUCUCAUCACUCACCGGUUGAAAAGCUCGACCCGGUACUCCAUCUCCUUCUCCGCCAUCCCGAACAUCUGCAUCGCACAACCACCACCAUCAAUUGACCUCAAUCACAAGCUCAAAAUCAAAGAGGA